UAGGGAAUCUUCCGCAAUGGACGCAAGUCUGACGGAGCAACGCCGCGUGAGUGAAGAAGGAUUUCGGUUCGUAAAACUCUGUUGUUAGAGAAGAACAGCGCAUAGAGUAACUGUUAUGCGUGUGACGGUAUCUAACCAGAAAGCCACGGCUAACUACGUGCCAGCAGCCGCGGUAAUACGUAGGUGGCAAGCGUUGUCCGGAUUUAUUGGGCGUAAAGCGAGCGCAGGCGGUCAAUUAAGUCUGAUGUGAAAGCCCCCGGCUCAACCGGGGAGGGUCAUUGGAAACUGGUUGACUUGAGUGCAGAAGAGGAGAGUGGAAGUCCAUGUGUAGCGGUGAAAUGCGUAGAUAUAUGGAGGAACACCAGUAGCGAAGGCGACUCUCUGGUCUGUAACUGACGCUGAGGCUCGAAAGCGUGUGGAGCGAACAGG
This 429-nucleotide ribosomal RNA is filed under the name Bacteroidota bacterium. RNAcentral describes it as "Bacteroidetes bacterium partial 16S ribosomal RNA". It matches the Rfam family "Bacterial small subunit ribosomal RNA", at positions 355 to 776 of the family's 1533-position model. The record is from RNAcentral. Lineage: Bacteria; Pseudomonadati; Bacteroidota.